CUUUUACAUUCUAAUCAAUAAAUUUUCAAUGAGAUUAAUAAAAAUAUAAAAUAAUUAUAAUUACAAAAUUAUUAACUUUCUCUCAAACAAAUAAUGGUGAAAAACCUCUUUGAUGUGAACUACUUCAACUAAGGGACUAUUUGAUUAGAUGUAAUUAUAAAUGCAGUGUAGUUAGAGAUACGAAUGUGCAUAUAGUUGGAAAUGCAACAAUUAUAACAACAUGCAUUCUGUUUGGUUGGAUGUAGUAGAAAACGUUGCAACUAUAAAUAAUUUGUUUGGUUGUAUAUAGUUGAGAAAUAAUUUUUAAAAAUUUAUCAUUUUAUAUAUAUGAUGGUGAAAUUAUCUGUAAUGUAAUAUAUAUAGAGUUAGUCUGGUAUACUAUCGGUAGCCUGGAGGCUUCUGUGCUAUCAAGUUGUUUUCAAUGAUGCAGCUUCCAAAUCAACAAUCGGCUCAGUUAGACUUGAUUUACACUAUUAAAAAUAUUUAGAAACUAAAUUUUAUAAUUUUUCGACAUCAUUUGGUUAGUGAUUAAAAGGUCUCAAAAUUGACAAUUUUAAUGGUAGAUGUGAUGCAUUUGUAAAUUUAACGGUGUAAAAUAAUCCAAAUCAGAUAAAAUUUUUAUAGAAAAUUUUUUUUACUAUUGAGAGUAAGAUCAGUAUCUCUGAUCUUAAAUUCAAGUCUUCUAUCAUCUUUUUUAUGAGAUUUUUAUUUUCAGCCGUUCAUUUUUAGACUACUCGUUUGAUAGAUAAAUGAUACCAAAAAAUUAUAAAAUUUAGUUUCCAAAUACUUUCAAUAGUCUAGAUCAAGUCUAAUGGAACCGAUCGUCGAUUUGGAAGCGGCAUCAUUAAAAACAACUUGAUAACACAGAGGCCUCCGUGUUACCGCUAGUAUAGCAGUCUAACUCUAUAUAUAUAUAUAUAAUUAAAAAAAUUAAGGAGUUAAACAUGUCUUUUAUUUAGAAUUACUCUCUUUAAUUGCUGCAGUUGGAACUGCGGCCAAUUUGGGCAUAUUUCCAACUACAGCAGUUGAGCCUCUUCUCACAGUUACUACUGCAGCAGUUGUAGUUAAAUAUAUCAAGCAAACGCCGAAUUUAUAUUUAUAUGCAGUUACAAUUACAGUAUAGUUAUAACUAUAAACAACCAAAUGGCUCUAAUUAAAAAUCACUUUCAAUUU
This 1173-nucleotide long non-coding RNA is filed under the name Ananas comosus (pineapple). Its description in RNAcentral is "long non-coding RNA (ACOM_LNC006199)". The record is from RNAcentral. Lineage: Eukaryota; Viridiplantae; Streptophyta; Magnoliopsida; Poales; Bromeliaceae.